RNAcentral lists this long non-coding RNA (270 nucleotides) under Brassica napus (rape). RNAcentral describes it as "long non-coding RNA (BNAP_LNC021566)". Lineage: Eukaryota; Viridiplantae; Streptophyta; Magnoliopsida; Brassicales; Brassicaceae. The record is from RNAcentral.
UGUUUGUCUUUUCAAUAACGUGUUGUUGUGUGUAUAGUAGUAUGUUAGUGGUGAAAUGAACUUCUGAUGUAAAGCAUCUUGAAUUUCAAUAAAUUUUCAUUUAAGCAUUUAUUGAUUCUAACAUUAACGGUUUAAGCGUCAACAUUGUAUUUAAUAUUUUCACAUUUUUGAACACUAUUCUUUUUGUUAACAACGUCGAACAUUAUUCUCCUAAGAUGUUUUUUCCUUCUCCGCAUAUUUUGACUUGAGCCAUCACCAUCUAUGUAUUUC